RNAcentral lists this long non-coding RNA (2131 nucleotides) under Lupinus angustifolius (narrow-leaved blue lupine). RNAcentral's name for it is "long non-coding RNA (LANG_LNC002347)". The record is from RNAcentral. Lineage: Eukaryota; Viridiplantae; Streptophyta; Magnoliopsida; Fabales; Fabaceae.
AGAAGCAGAAGAGGGAAUCUGGGUUAUUACCUAGUAAUGAUGCAUGUGGUGGAGCAUGAUAGCACUUAACAAAUGGAUUAACACCACCAGAUUGAAAGGUAGAAGGUGAAAAAGUACUUUUGUUAACAACUGAUCCCAACAAAAAAAGCAGAUUUUUUUGGAUUAGGGUUUUGGACCUUCCCAAAUUUUGUGCUGCCAUUGCAAUGAUUGAGCAUUCACAAGAGAAGGAGCUAGAAGGAAGGUAUAAUAGGAAUAAUGAAAUGAAAGAGUUGUGAUUAAUAAUGGUGGAGUGGGAGAGACAAAUGGACAAGUUUAACUCUGAUACGUACUUAUCUGAGCUGGUGUUGUCGUAUAAUUAUGGGAGUGUGACAAAGUCAAAGUUUGUCCUAAAGAGGAUUAGUGGAACCCAAAAUCAAUCCUGAGUUUGAAUCUUGGACCCAUUUGUUAAAAUUUAAAGUACUAACCACUGUACCAAAAAAUAUUGUUAUGAAAUGUGACUUGCUUAUUAUAUAUUAAAAAACAUGUUAUAAAGUUGAUUUGAGUCAAACAGUUGUUCCAAAACUACUUCUUAAUUUGAUUUUUUUCUACAAACAAGUUUAAUCACUUUUAGAAUUUUGGAGCAUGGGUCUGCUUCUUCUAAUAAAUGUUGUUCAUAUAAACUAAAUUUCAGUAUCUUACAUCACAGACCAACAAACAAAAAUAAAUACUACAUAAUUCAUAUCUAAUUGAUAUUUAACUUAUUAUAUAUAUAUAUAUAUAUAUUAGAUCCUAAAUUGAUAUUGUUGGUUAAAGCCUAGAGGUCUGUGAUACAUAUAUACAUAACAUAUUAAACCACUAUAUUAAUAUAUAUAUAUAUAUAUAUAUAUAUAUAUAUAUAUAUAUAUAACAUUCAUACAAACACAACCAACAAACGUGAAGCAAGUUACAAAUGCAUGAUGUGUAAAGAUAUAUAUGUUAUCUUUUGUGUUGGGGUAACGUGGGAUCCAACAUUGUUGUUAUCUGUUGUUAUCUUCCACUUUGAGUAUCGUCCAUUAAGUAGGAAUGUAUAUCCUCUAUCCCAACUCUAUCUCCUCUUCACUCUACCUCCAUUUAUAUAUAUUUGCCUGUAAAAUGUGAACAUUAUAUUAUUUAAUUUAAUUAUUACUAAACCUUAAAAUACUUUUAAUGUCGUUUAUCUGAGUCAUUAACGCUAUUAAAGUGCAUAAGAAAAGGUAGGAACAAAUUCCAUGUAUUUAUUUUGAUUUAAGGAAGGUAUAGUCAAAAUUGAUUAGCCAUAAAACACUUGUAAUUUUCCAUAACACCUCCAUCACUUGGUGCUCCAUUGGAUCCAAUCAAUCUCUUAAAGCAUCAUAAAAGAGUAAUCUUGUUUGCAAUUUGUUCAACUUUCAAUUUCUCCUCAUCUUUGAAUGGAAACUGAAUUGAAUCUACUAAGUUGGUAAUUCGCAAUGCAACAGAUCAGUGAAUUAGUUCUACUACUAAGCCACCAUUGAGUUUUGCUGCAGUGAUGCAUUUGAUUUUCAGUUAAUUGAUUGUUGAGGUUGCAGGAGAAUUGAUUAAUGAAAGAAUACAAAAGGUCAUGAAUUCAUAAUUUGGAGAUUUAUAUCAAUGAGAUGACCUAAAAUAAUGGAUCCCCAUAUAUUAUAUUAUAUCAAAGAUGAAAGGUUCAAUUUCUAAAAAUAACAUUUAUUAAUAAGGACAUUUAUGCACUUAAAAGAGUUUAGUCCAUUAUUUAUAACAUCAUUAAUAUUUUUAGUUAUACUAAAAAAAACUUGGAAAUUAGUAUCACAAUUAUGAAAUCAUCCAAAAAAAAUUAUGAGAAAUAGAAAAUUUGUUAUAUAUAUCAGAAGAGGGAAUCUGGGUUAUUACCUAGUAAUGAUGCAUGUGGUGGAGCAUGAUAGCACUUAACAAAUGGAUUAACACCACCAGAUUGAAAGGUAGAAGGUGAAAAAGUACUUUUGUUAACAACUGAUCCCAACAAAAAAAGCAGAUUUUUUUGGAUUAGGGUUUUGGACCUUCCCAAAUUUUGUGCUGCCAUUGCAAUGAUUGAGCAUUCACAAGAGAAGGAGCUAGAAGGAAGGUAUAAUAGGAAUAAUGAAAUGAAAGAGUUGUGAUUAAUAAUGGUGGAGUGGGA